CUAUCUGCUGGUGGCCGGAGUCUGGUGGAUCCAGCCGAUCCGCACCGAACCCACUCCCACCGGUAAGUCUUCUUCUUCGCGUUUCCGGUCGACAUCUCCGAUCUCUUAAGCCCGGUACUCGCACCAGGAAAACGUCGACGAAAGCCAAAACACAAAUGGCCGUUCCGCUAUCUUUUCGCAUUCGUUUUUAACUCACAUACCAGAAAGUUCUUCGACGGAACUCUACCGUCUGCCGUAUAUUGAUAGUAGGCCGAAAUAACAAUAUAAAUACAAAACAUGGCGCCGGAAAGUGUUGCGGCUUUGUAUCACUUAAAUUUAUCGAUUAUGAUAAUGAAAAACCGUUAUAAAGACGUGGAUGCUUCCUUACCUAUUCGAUAAAUUCUUCGAAGCGUCUAUCGAGAGCUCGAUGCUUCGAAGAGUAUUCGAAAUAUCGAAGCCUCCCUUUAAGCAGUUCGUCAUUUUUACGUCAGUAGGUGCGACGUGUGGCUGGAAUAGAUGUCAUGGUAACAACUGUUAUCUGCUAUUGUUACAGUUAUUGCCGUUCCGUUGGACGGAACGGAAAACUUGAAAUAUUUCGAUUCGGUAUUCCGUCGGCUUUCCUUCGUCCUCGACCACAAAAAUGAUGUCAUUUUUGCUUUCAUCGACGUUUUCCGCGUGUGAGUACCAGUCUUUAGCCUCCCUUUUUUUUCACUUACUCCGCCAUUUAGCCGUCCUAAGGCACGCGCCUCUGCCGGUCGCUUUUUAAUCGGUUGGAGACCAAUUUACCUUUUUAUUUCCUCACCUGGUCUUCUUCCACCUUCCCGAAACCAGGGCUGGAUAUCCGCCUACCGACCUUCUUGGUUCCAUUUAUCCAGCGCUGGCGGCUUUCUACCAGCAGCGGAAGUUUUAUAUAAUUUUCCGAAGAUUUAAAUAUGCAGGCAUUUGGACUCGCCUGUUCUUUGUAGCUAUAUAUAUAUAUAUAAAUAUACAGGCUUUCCUCGCCUUCUUACUACUUCGGUAGUAAGUAAAAGAGCGACAUAAUGUGACGCUUUGUGUACUCGAUGGUGACUGGCUAUCUUUAAAGGGUUAUAAUUCGAAAACGAUGCCAUUUAGAGAUAUUUUCGAC
RNAcentral lists this long non-coding RNA (1105 nucleotides) under Androctonus crassicauda. Lineage: Eukaryota; Metazoa; Arthropoda; Arachnida; Scorpiones; Buthidae. The record is from RNAcentral.